RNAcentral lists this ribosomal RNA (253 nucleotides) under uncultured bacterium. RNAcentral describes it as "partial 16S ribosomal RNA". It matches the Rfam family "Bacterial small subunit ribosomal RNA", at positions 524 to 776 of the family's 1533-position model. The record is from RNAcentral.
UACGUAGGGGGCUAGCGUUGUCCGGAAUCAUUGGGCGUAAAGAGCGUGUAGGCGGUCCGGUAAGUCCGCUGUGAAAGUCGGGGGCUCAACCCUCGAAUGCCGGUGGAUACUGUCGGGCUAGAGUACGGAAGAGGCGAGUGGAAUUCCUGGUGUAGCGGUGGAAUGCGCAGAUAUCAGGAGGAACACCAACGGCGAAGGCAGCUCGCUAGGACGGUACUGACGCUAAGGCGCGAAAGCGUGGGGAGCGAACAGG